UCUUGUACAGUAUUGGCAUAAAACUGUCAAAAUUGUUAAACAAUUGUCAAUACGGUGGAAGUAGAUUUAUAAAGAACCGUUAGAUCGAAUGAACAACGAUCGUACAACUCAAGAAUGCUUAACAUUCUUGACGAUAACACUAAGUUUGAACGAAUUGACCAGAAGAAAUCGAACAUAUAUAAAGAAACCACUCGCCGUGAAGAUGCUGUCCGAACUCUCAUAAAUGAACUUAAAUCUAAUGAUAUAAUUUCUGAACAAGUAAGUAAAGAACUUAAUCUUAUUGGCUCACGACCAGGUAUUAUGUAUGGUUUACCUAAAGUUCACAAGCCUAAUUUCCCACUUAGACCUAUAAUCUCUGCUAUAGGUACUCCUCCUACAAACUUGCUAAAUUUCUUGUUCCACUUCUCCGUUCUUUCUUUAGUAACACUUUUACAAUUAAUGACACCUUUACAUUUGUUAAGGAAUUACGUGAGUUAAAAAUUAAUACUAAUGAUGUCAUAAUGGCCAGUUUUGACGUUAAGUCUUUCUUUUCUAACAUUAGAUGAAAAUAUUAAUAUAAUAAUUAAUAAAUGCUUUGCUAGUGCCAUACACUAUUAUGCCAUCUCUCGCGAUCAAUUUAGAGAUCUUUUAAAUCUUUCUGUGAAAAAUUGUCAUUUUUAUUUGAUGGUGUUCUAUACAAGCAGGUUGACGGCGUAGCAAUGGGUUCAUCCUUAGGCCCAUUGUUUGCAAAUAUAUUCUAAUCGUUUCAUGAGAGAUCCUGGUUAGCUGACUGCCCUUCUGUUUUUAAGCCUAUAUUCUAUCGUCGGUAUGUUGAUGAUUGUUUUCUUAUUUUCACAUCACGUGACCAUGUCACUCCUUUCUUUUCCUAUCUAAAAUCGAAACACCCCAACAUUCAAUUUACUUAUGAGCUUGAAAGUAAUUCGUGCCUUCCUUUCCUAGAUGUCAAAGUCAUUCGAUCUAACGGUUUUUUCGCUACCACGGUUCAUCAUAAAUCUACUUCCACCGGAUUGUUUACCAAUUUUGACAGUUUUAUUCCAAUACUGUACAAGAAAGGUUUACUUUUCUCUC
Molecule: non-coding RNA, 1068 nt
Organism: Paramuricea clavata
Lineage: Eukaryota; Metazoa; Cnidaria; Anthozoa; Malacalcyonacea; Plexauridae
Source: the annotation of a GenBank genome assembly